This 465-nucleotide ribosomal RNA is filed under the name uncultured bacterium. RNAcentral describes it as "partial 16S ribosomal RNA". It matches the Rfam family "Bacterial small subunit ribosomal RNA", at positions 338 to 795 of the family's 1533-position model. The record is from RNAcentral.
CCUACGGGAGGCAGCAGUGGGGAAUAUUGCUCAAUGGGCGAAAGCCUGACGCAGCGACGCCGCGUGAGGGAUGAAGGUCUUCGGAUCGUUAACCUCUGUCAGCAGGGAAGAACGGUCACUGUGCUAAUCAGCAGUGAAUUGACGGUACCUACAAAGGAAGCACCGGCUAACUCCGUGCCAGCAGCCGCGGUAAGACGGAGGGUGCGAGCGUUAAUCGGAAUUACUGGGCGUAAAGCGCUCGUAGGCGGUAUGUCAAGUCAAGGGUGAAAUCCCCGCGCUCAACGUGGGAACUGCCGUUGGAACUGGUAAACUGGAGUGUGUGAGAGGAUAGUGGAAUUCCAGGUGUAGGAGUGAAAUCCGUAGAUAUCAGGAGGAACCUCAGUGGCGAAGGCGACUAUCUGGCACAUAACUGACGCUGAGGAGCGAAAGCGUGGGUAGCGAACAGGAUUAGAUACCCCGGUAGUC